This is a long non-coding RNA of Cygnus olor (mute swan), 758 nucleotides long. RefSeq lists it as uncharacterized. The record is from RefSeq and is a predicted model, not a curated record. The transcript has 3 exons. Lineage: Eukaryota; Metazoa; Chordata; Aves; Anseriformes; Anatidae.
GCAAAGCCAAGGUUCCUACUGAAGGCCUCAAAAUUAUCUGUCUGAAGACUACUCAUCACCAUAAGGGAGGAGGAUCUUGGUGUUUCCUGAAAGCAGAUGUGUCAAUGGGAGUUAAAUGUCACCAACUACCUUUGGCUGAUUAAACUAUGUUUUGCUACAUCUGAUACAAUUCACCUGAGUCUUGAAAGGUCCUGCUCCUCAUUGUCAAGCAUUGAAUUCUCAUCGACAUUGAAGUUAUCCACCAACAAUUUUAUCUGGUAGCACAGGCAUCCCCACUUGCCAUGGAUGAGUGGCUGAGACGCAGCUAUCAAAGGAAAUUUAUGAAGAGAUUUUGGAAUGUCUGAGGUGCCUACAUUCAGAGAAGAGACCAACAACAUAGAAUCUGGCAGAGAUUCACAAAGAAAUAAAGGAGGAUUUUCAGAUCUUCUCAUCAACUUCUUUAACAUCAGACAAUUGCUAUAGCCUUCAUUUUGUAGAACAGCAAGGGCUACACAGUGGAAUUUGAAAAGUCAAAAAAAAAAAAAAAAAGUUUAGAGUUAAUAAAUUAUUUUAUGAGGCACAUAAUGAAGCUGGGGGGCUCAUUGCGAUGAGAUGUGGAGGUUCCAUGUCAUCCCACUUCAAAAGAUUUCCUAUUGGCAUGGAUAAUGAGAAAGAAUACCACUAUGUUGCUGCUGAGGAUGAACGAUCUAUAAGAAAUAAAAACGUUGCUGGCCCAGAGCAUCAGCCAACCACUGACUGAUUGCGGGGGUAGAGAAAAC